AUGUACAUAAAUAUAUAUAUUAUUUUAUUUUCAAAGCCUCUUGAACUCAGGGUUACCAUGACCAUGGACCCUUGACCAAAAGAAACAAUAAAAUAGAACACAAAUAGACCAAAUUUAAACAAAAAAAACCUUCACCAACCUACCAUCCUUUUAAAAUAUUUUUGGAGACACCCACCAGCACCCCCAACGGACGAGAACCUUUUUUCUCCAACUACUCUGGGGGCCCGGCUAUUCGACUCCCCCGCAGCGAGCGGACCCUAAGCAAUCAGGCCCGACCAUACACCAAGCAAGAAGAAGGGAGGAAAUGGUAGACCGGACUCCUUCGGGACCCCUCUGGGGCCUGUUGGCAGACCCAUCGGCUCAACCCUCCCAGCCCCCUUACACACGGGAGACUCACGUAACGCGCUGGACCACUAUCUACCCCAGAUUAGAUCUGGAUUGGCAGUAGGUUCAGUAGCGCGUGUUUCCUCCUAGCGGGUUGGGAUACCCAAAAGAGGGGCUUUUGGGUUAUGCGCUGCGGCUGGAGGAUCGCGUCUGCCGAAUAACCCCUGGGGUGCCCAGAUAAUGUCUGGCGAGGUAUCGGACCCCACAGAAGAAUUUCCCACUGGGGGACCCCCUACCCCGCCGUACUUAGCCUGGACAACCGAACCAUUUUUUUACCUGGACUACGAACCAAUUCACUGUCUAGGGAUGAUAUACCUCUGGAAACGUUACGAUCCUGGAAGGGAGUAAUUCCACUGGUCACUAUUACCCAAAACCACUGAAUUACCUACCACUGAGAUGGUGGGGAUGGAAACACCCAAUUAACUUCUACUACUGCCGGACGUUUCAUACGUAAGCCAGAGAAGGUUUGCCGGUUUCUAAACCCUCCAUACACCGACCAAAAACACAGGACGUGACUCCAGGGGCGGAUGCAUGACAACCGUAUAGAGGGCUCGCCUUCUGGGUUUUUGUCUGCUCAAACCACUGGCUGUUAUAGACUGACCACUUGACAGGGACACAUGGCAACCGACUGAGGUCCGGACCUGCACAAGGUACGCAACUCGAUGGUUUUGCCUGAUCCUACGCCAAGUAUACCCAUACAGACCAGCUGGAUUCGACUAGACAUGGGUUGAUUUGGAAUUAGGAUCCUGGAAGGGAAUAACUCCCAAUCAUACACAUGAUUGAAAACAUCCAGGACCAAAGACUGACGAACACUGAAGUGAAUACAUAGACAACAUGGAG
Long non-coding RNA from Oncorhynchus tshawytscha (Chinook salmon), 1224 nucleotides. The record is from Ensembl. NCBI's taxonomy places the organism in Eukaryota, Metazoa, Chordata, Actinopteri, Salmoniformes, Salmonidae.